Molecule: long non-coding RNA, 729 nt
Organism: Daphnia magna
Lineage: Eukaryota; Metazoa; Arthropoda; Branchiopoda; Diplostraca; Daphniidae
Exons: 4
Source: RefSeq, a predicted model, not a curated record
UUUCCAUUAGUCUUGUAGUUUUUGAACUAAACGUAUUGCUGGAAGGUAGAUAGUCACUAGAUGGCAGUGCAGAACCUACCAUUGUUAAUCAAUGGCAUAGUCAGUAGGUGUCAAAUGGCGUUUCGGUAUUCAUUACGUAAUGGAUAAUGGAAAUGUUUUUGUUUAUUAGAUAAUUUUCAUUCAAGAUGAAUGUUAAAAUCCACUUGAUUGCGACAGGACCAGGAUGUAAAUGGGACUAUGUCAUCACCUUUCAAAUUAUUAGUAGAGUACAAUCAAUUGAAUACCAUCAAUGAAUACCAUCAAUUCCCCAGAAGGAAAGAUAGGAGAAGAACCAUAGUCUGGCUUGUACCAAACUGGAUUGUACCAAACUGUGAAAGAAAUCAUGUGUCUGUUACUGAAACUGGCUCUCUCUGUUUGUGACAUCUGACCUUACAGUGUGUCACUCUGAAGCAGAGCUCCUGAAAUGAGAUUGAACGUUUUGAACCAUCUCAUGCCAAAGCUCAAGUUAAGAAGCAUUUAAAAGAGGUGGCUUUUUGGUUAGAGUUUCUUCGACAUCCGAUGCCAUGCAGAUCCUGCCGAGCGAUCUGAAUAUAUUUUAGCGCUCAGUCGGAACGGUGUUCACUUCCUCGACGUAAUAGGUCACGUAAUUAAAUAACAUUGUGCUUCACAAAACUUUAAUCUUAAAGUUUUAAUAGAAAAAUUUGAUAAAUAAUCAUUAUCUCUAGGCCG